GAUGAACGCUGGCGGCGUGCCUAAUACAUGCAAGUCGAGCGAACAGACGAGGAGCUUGCUCCUUUGACGUUAGCGGCGGACGGGUGAGUAACACGUAGGUAACCUACCUAUAAGACUGGGAUAACUUCGGGAAACCGGAGCUAAUACCGGAUAAUAUUUCGAACCGCAUGGUUCGAUAGUGAAAGAUGGCCUUGCUAUCACUUAUAGAUGGACCUGCGCCGUAUUAGCUAGUUGGUAAGGUAACGGCUUACCAAGGCAACGAUACGUAGCCGACCUGAGAGGUUGAGCGGCCACACUGGAACUGAGACACGGUCCAGACUCCUACGGGAGGCAGCAGUAGGGAAUCUUCCGCAAUGGGCGAAAGCCUGACGGAGCAACGCCGCGUGAGUGAUGAAGGUCUUCGGAUCGUAAAACUCUGUUAUUAGGGAAGAACAAACGUGUAAGUAACUGUGCACGUCUUGACGGUACCUAAUCAGAAAGCCACGGCUAACUACGUG
Molecule: ribosomal RNA, 497 nt
Filed under: uncultured bacterium
Lineage: Bacteria
Description: partial 16S ribosomal RNA
Rfam family: Bacterial small subunit ribosomal RNA
Source: RNAcentral